UACGAAGGGAGCUAGCGUUGUUCGGAAUCACUGGGCGUAAAGCGCACGUAGGCGGAUUUGUCAGUCAGGGGUGAAAUCCCGGGGCUCAACCUCGGAACUGCCUUUGAUACAGCAAGUCUUGAUUUCGAGAGAGGUGGGUGGAAUUCCUAGUGUAGAGGUGAAAUUCGUAGAUAUUAGGAAGAACACCGGUGGCGAAGGCGGGUCUCUGGGCCGAUACUGACGCUGAGGAGCGAAAGCGUGGGGAGCGAACAGG
Molecule: ribosomal RNA, 253 nt
Filed under: uncultured bacterium
Lineage: Bacteria
Description: partial 16S ribosomal RNA
Rfam family: Bacterial small subunit ribosomal RNA
Source: RNAcentral